This 1038-nucleotide long non-coding RNA is filed under the name Homo sapiens (human). RNAcentral's name for it is "HSALNT0334981". Lineage: Eukaryota; Metazoa; Chordata; Mammalia; Primates; Hominidae. The record is from RNAcentral.
CAAUUUUCCAUUUUCCAUUUUCAAUUACCAUUUUUGAACACAGUGUAAUGAUGAGUAGAAAACCUAAUAGUAAAACAUAUUUGCAUUGUCCUGUUUAAAAACCUUAGACUUGAUCAGAGGACAAACAAGUUUGAAACAACAACAACAAAAAAGCAGAAUCUAAAGAAACGGGGCAUGAGAAAACAGGUUUAUGUAACAUCACCUACAGCCUAUAUAAUAAAAGAGAAAAUACAUGUCUGGCGCCUGCAUAUUUUGGAACGUAGCAGCAUAAUACUCUGUGCACUCACUGAAGUCAACCAAGCAAGCACCACAUCGACACUGAACAAGCCUGCAGAGGACACCAAAGCACAACCUGUGCUACACUGACACAUACAAAGAAAUAUGUAGUAACUGUAGAAGCCUAAUUUAGGUUCAAAGUAGCACCAUGGAAUUAACUAGUCACGCCUGAGACUGCCUGCAAGGAGUUACCAACUGAAAACCUAGAAGCAGCAGUACAAGUGGAGGAGAAGUGUCCUGGAAGAGGAAACCUGCACUCAAGGGAUAGAAGACGAAGCCCAGAAGAGUGGAACAAUAGGCUAAGCUUAGGACAGAUGGGCAAAAAAGAAGUGCCUUUCACCUCCCGCCAUGAUUCUGAGGCCCCCCCAAGCCAUAUGGAACUCAUCAUUGAAUGACAAAGCUGAAAAGGAACUGGAUAUCAGGGAUCACAAACCCAAAUGCUUACAGGGGCUACCACACGGAUAUUGGACAAGAGGACUUAAGACUCUGAAAGGUAACAGCAGAAACAACUUCCUUCCACCCUGUGUGUGUCACUGUCUACAGCAGCAUGGAGAAGUCAGGCGAGUGUUUCCCAUAAAUUCAGUGGGAUUCUUAUGGUAACCGUGGGAAGAAGAGAGUGCAGGACUAAAAUAAAACACAUAUGGUCAUUUCUUUUCUUUUUUCAUUUUUUCUUGAUUUGAGAUAUUGUACUUUAUUCUAUGCAAAGAAUGCACUUGGUUUUAUAAAUGGUAAUAGAUUCAGUAUUCUAACACUCAUUUCUCA